Molecule: long non-coding RNA, 263 nt
Filed under: Setaria viridis
Lineage: Eukaryota; Viridiplantae; Streptophyta; Magnoliopsida; Poales; Poaceae
Description: long non-coding RNA (SVIR_LNC000218)
Source: RNAcentral
GAGAGAGAAAAGUGGGGGAGAGAGAGAAAAGUGGGGGAGGGUAGGGGGGUAAAGUGCACCCCAUAAGCAAAAUAAGCAGCUCCAAACUUGCUUAUUUGCUUAUGCAUAAGCAACUUAUAAGCAAGUCUAUAAGCAAGGGUGUUUGGGUCAUAAGCAACUUAUUUGCUUAAAUAUAAGUUGCUUAUUUAUAAGCAAGGCUAACCAAACAGGCCCGAAGAUUCCUGGCCUGGUAUAUGCGUCAAGUACUCAAGAGAUUCGAGUCC